RNAcentral lists this ribosomal RNA (433 nucleotides) under uncultured bacterium. Its description in RNAcentral is "partial 16S ribosomal RNA". It matches the Rfam family "Bacterial small subunit ribosomal RNA", at positions 29 to 507 of the family's 1533-position model. The record is from RNAcentral.
AACGAACGCUGGCGGCAUGCCUAACACAUGCAAGUCGAACGAGACAUUCGGGUCUAGUGGCGCACGGGUGCGUAACGCGUGGGAACCUGCCCUUAGGUUCGGAAUAACUCCCCGAAAGGGGUGCUAAUACCGGAUAAUGUCUUCGGACCAAAGAUUUAUCGCCUUUGGAUGGGCCCGCGUUGGAUUAGCUAGUUGGUAGGGUACAAGCCUACCAAGGCGACGAUCCAUAGCUGGUCUGAGAGGAUGAUCAGCAACACUGGGACUGAGACACGGCCCAGACUCGUACGGGAGGCAGCAGUGGGGAAUAUUGGACAAGGGGCGAGAGCCUGAUCCAGCAAUGCCGCGUGAGUGAUGAAGGCCUUAGGGUUGUAAAGCUCUUUUGCCCGGGAUGAUAAUGACAGUACCGGGAGAAUAAGCUCCGGCUAACUCCGUG